RNAcentral lists this ribosomal RNA (776 nucleotides) under uncultured Neocallimastigales. Its description in RNAcentral is "partial large subunit ribosomal RNA". It matches the Rfam family "Eukaryotic large subunit ribosomal RNA", at positions 20 to 634 of the family's 3401-position model. Lineage: Eukaryota; Fungi; Neocallimastigomycota; Neocallimastigomycetes; Neocallimastigales. The record is from RNAcentral.
UACUAGAGUAGCACUCGCAUAUCAAUAAGCGGAGGAAAAGAAACUAACAAGGAUUCCCCUAGUAACGGCGAGUGAAGCGGGAAGAGCUCAAAUUUGAAAUCUUAAAGGGUUUCCCUUUACGAAUUGUAGUUUAAAGAAGUGUUUUCUGUUGAGGUUUUGGUAAAAGUUCUUUGGAAUAGGACAUCAUAGAGGGUGAGAAUCCCGUAUUUGACCUUUACUUUCAACUUUGUGAUACACUUUCAAAGAGUCGGAUUGUUUGGGAAUGCAGUCCAAAAUGGGUGGUAAAUUUCAUCUAAAGCUAAAUAUUGGCGAGAGACCGAUAGCGAACAAGUACCGUGAGGGAAAGAUGAAAAGAACUUUGAAAAGAGAGUUAAACAGUACGUGAAAUUGUCAAAAGGGAAGCGUUUGACACCAGUGUUGUUUUUCUGAAAAUCAAUUAAAGAACUGUUUAUGCUAAGUUGUUUAGACUUUAUCAGCUAUCUGUUUAGUUUUGAGCUUUUCUUUAAUGCACUUUUCAGUUAACAAGUCAACAUCAAUUUCUUUUGCUGUAAAAAAGCUUGAGGAAGGUGGCUUGAGAUUCGUCUUAAGUGUUUGUAGCCUCUUGCCUAUGCAGUCGGAGAGAUUGAGGUCUGCAGCGUAGAUCCUUCGGGGCUAAAUGCAUUUGUGCUAAGUUAUAGCAUUUUCAUAGACUAACUUGUUGACUAUGAUUUGUCUUGUAGCUUACUCGCUUAUGUUAUUUUACCUACGCUUAGGAUGUUGAACUACUGAGACAUAGA